Molecule: long non-coding RNA, 1180 nt
Filed under: Homo sapiens (human)
Lineage: Eukaryota; Metazoa; Chordata; Mammalia; Primates; Hominidae
Description: HSALNT0074381
Source: RNAcentral
AGAGAUCAAUCAUCUAUCAAGGGUGGAGGGUGGAGGGGACUGGGAUGAGGAGAGGAUGAGACUUACUUCCAGUGCAUGAAAGAGUACUGAUUGGAUUUCAUAUGAACUGCAAACUCACUUGAUAAGGUAUAUAUGCAUGUUUGCUUGCACUAUAUUCACAAGCAUCAGGAGGCAGCAAUGGGUCAGUGUAUCACAAAAAAGAAGGUCUAAGUAGUUAUUGUCGAUUAUGGGUGGUAGAAGGCAAACAUAUAGGUGAACUGUGGAAUCUUGUUUUAACCUUUCAAAAAUACUACUUAAACACUUAGUUACAUUUGUUUAAUCCUGCCUUUUUCUAAGCCUUUAAAGCACCAAGAAAGAAAGAAAACUAUCUUUUGGCAGCUUAAGAUUACUGAGGGAAGUAGUAAAAUAAAUUAUUAAAUUAAAAAGCUUUUUUUUCUCUCUACCAUAGCACUGUAAAGUAUAAUCAAAGAAACUAUUCUAAAACUAAAACUAACAGUUUUAAAAUUACAUGAUUAACUUAAUGUUCUACAUUAUACCACAGCCUUAUGUUAGUUCAAUAUUUAUUGGCUGCUUACUAUGUGCUGUACCAGGGACAAAGUCUUGUAUGUCAUGUAGCUCAUAUCCCACUGGGUGAGAAAAGAUACUAAAUGAACAAUAUAUUGCAUGUCAGAUGGUGAUAACUGCUAUGAAGAAAAGUUAAUAGAGGAAGGGGGCUAAACAUGUUGGGAGUUGGGGGUAAUAAAGAAAGGCCUGAUGGCUAAUGGGACAUGUGAGCAGAGGCCUUGAACUUGGGAGGAAACAAACAAUGCAGAUAUGUGGAGGAAGAGUUCCAGGCAGAAGGAGCAGCAAGUAUAAAGUCCUGACGCUGAAAUGCUCUUGGUGUGUUCAAGGAAGGAAUGCCAGUGUGCUUGGAGAAGAGAGAGAAGAGACAGGCCAUCAAGGAUGCUACAUACCAAGUUGUGUGGCAAAAUUACUUUGUGCUGUUUAGACAUAAAGUGAAAAUAAGAUACAUCCAUGCUAUAAAAACUAUUCCAACUACUGAUUAAAAUGAACUUUUGCGGAAAGGAAACCUUACAAUCCUUGCUCAAAGUUAACCUGGCCAGGUGCGGUGGCUCAUGCCUGUAAUCCCAGCACUUUGAGAGGCCGAGGAUUCUUCUAAUUAAGCAAAAUAUGAUUUAAA